This 482-nucleotide ribosomal RNA is filed under the name uncultured bacterium. RNAcentral describes it as "partial 16S ribosomal RNA". It matches the Rfam family "Bacterial small subunit ribosomal RNA", at positions 30 to 507 of the family's 1533-position model. The record is from RNAcentral.
AUUGAACGCUGGCGGCAUGCCUUACACAUGCAAGUCGAACGGUAACGGGCCUUCGGGUGCCGACGAGUGGCGAACGGGUGAGUAAUACAUCGGAACGUGCCCGAUCGUGGGGGAUAACGAGGCGAAAGCUUUUCUAAUACCGCAUACGAUCUACGGAUGAAAGCAGGGGACCGCAAGGCCUUGCGCGGACGGAGCGGCCGAUGGCAGAUUAGGUAGUUGGUGGGAUAAAAGCUUACCAAGCCGACGAUCUGUAGCUGGUCUGAGAGGAUGAUCAGCCACACUGGGACUGAGACACGGCCCAGACUCCUACGGGAGGCAGCAGUGGGGAAUUUUGGACAAUGGGCGCAAGCCUGAUCCAGCCAUGCCGCGUGCAGGAUGAAGGACUUCGGGUUGUAAACUGCUUUUGUACGGAACGAAAAGCCUUCUUUUAAUACAGGAGGGUCAUGACGGUACCGUAAGAAUAAGCACCGGCUAACUACGUG